RNAcentral lists this long non-coding RNA (299 nucleotides) under Setaria viridis. RNAcentral describes it as "long non-coding RNA (SVIR_LNC003708)". The record is from RNAcentral. Lineage: Eukaryota; Viridiplantae; Streptophyta; Magnoliopsida; Poales; Poaceae.
GAGGAGGUGAUGGAGGUGGAGUAAUAUGUUUUCUACAUGGAGAUGGACGACUAGGGAGUGGAGGGGGAGGGGGAGCUACAAAAGGUGGUUCUCUAGAAAAAGGUGGAGGUGGUGGGGAAGGUGGAUUUUCAUAAUGUUCUCUUGGAGAAGGUGGAGUUAAAGAUAAACAUGGAGAUGGUACAAGUGUUGCAUGACAAGGUGGUGGCGGCGGCGGUGGUGGAGGAGAUGGAGGUUUCACAUGUUCUCUAGGCCACGACAAUUUUUGUGGUGAUGGAGGAAUUGGUAUGCCUUCAUGUUCU